RNAcentral lists this ribosomal RNA (673 nucleotides) under uncultured Mollicutes bacterium. RNAcentral describes it as "bacterial SSU rRNA". It matches the Rfam family "Bacterial small subunit ribosomal RNA", at positions 63 to 719 of the family's 1533-position model. Lineage: Bacteria; Bacillati; Mycoplasmatota; Mollicutes. The record is from RNAcentral.
CGAAGUUUCGAGGAAGCUUGCUUCCAAAGAGACUUAGUGGCGAACGGGUGAGUAACACGUAGGUAACCUGCCCAUGUGUCCGGGAUAACUGCUGGAAACGGUAGCUAAAACCGGAUAGGUAUACAGAGCGCAUGCUCAGUAUAUUAAAGCGCCCAUCAAGGCGUGAACGUGGAUGGACCUGCGGCGCAUUAGCUAGUUGGUGAGGUAACGGCCCACCAAGGCGAUGAUGCGUAGCCGGCCUGAGAGGGUAAACGGUCACAUUGGGACUGAGACACGGCCCAAACUCCUACGGGAGGCAGCAGUAGGGAAUUUUCGUCAAUGGGGGAAACCCUGAACGAGCAAUGCCGCGUGAGUGAAGAAGGUCUUCGGAUCGUAAAGCUCUGUUGUAAGUGAAGAACAGCUCAUAGAGGAAAUGCUAUGGGAGUGACGGUAGCUUACCAGAAAGCCACGGCUAACUACGUGCCAGCAGCCGCGGUAAUACGUAGGUGGCAAGCGUUAUCCGGAAUCAUUGGGCGUAAAGGGUGCGUAGGUGGCGUACUAAGUCUGUAGUAAAAGGCAAUGGCUCAACCAUUGUAAGCUAUGGAAACUGGUAUGCUGGAGUGCAGAAGAGGGCGAUGGAAUUCCAUGUGUAGCGGUAAAAUGCGUAGAUAUAUGGAGGAACACCAGUGGCGAA